This 888-nucleotide long non-coding RNA is filed under the name Zalophus californianus (California sea lion). RNAcentral's name for it is "lncRNA (ENSZCAG00015015728.1)". Lineage: Eukaryota; Metazoa; Chordata; Mammalia; Carnivora; Otariidae. The record is from RNAcentral.
GGAGUUGCCUUUGGAGAGGAAGCCAAAUGUCAGAUCAUUUAGUCCCAUUGCCCUCACUUUAAAAAGACUAAUUCCCAAAAACACAUGAUUAACAGAUUAUGAUGCUUUACAAGAGAAAGGAAGCAUGAUUAAGCUGUUGGAAAUAUUAAUGAUUUAUUGAAUAACUAUUACGUGCCAGGCAAUGGGCGAGGACAUUUAAAUGCAUUAUCUCAUUUCAUGCUCACAUUAAUUCUACAGAGUUAGUUAUUAUCCCAGAAAAUGGAAAAAUGGAAAUAUUGAAUAAUGUGGUUCACAACUAGUGGCAGAGACAGGAUUUGACCCAGGUCUCUUUGAGUCCAAAGCCUACUCUUUGUACUAUACCACAUUUUCUCAUUUGAAUGAUUAUGAAGAAGGAAGAAGGAAUUCAUGCAUUCAUACACUUAGCAAUUAUUAAGUAAAAACUUAACAAAAAAUAAGUAGCUAUUGUUCAUUAUUAUGUAACAGAUACUGUAGAAAUAGUAUUAAAAUGUAAUAGAGCAUUUAAAAAUUGUUUUGUAUAGUUAUAUUUUUACCAGUUGUCUGUUUUUACAACUUUGCAGGUAGAGGGACUAUAAGGCACUUGCCCAAGAAACUGCUCAAGAAGUUUUAGAAUACAGUCAAGACACAUCAGGCUGGAAAGUGGUUUAGACUUCACUAAUUUAUUUCUGGAUUUUUAUUCCCCUUUGAGAAAAAGAUAACUGUUUCCAGCAAGGCUUCUAAAAAAUUCCAUGGAAAUCUAUAUCGUGUUGAAGGAAUAAUUCCAGAAUCAACAACUAAACUGAUUUCCUCUACAAACCUGAAAACAGUUGCAUGGGAUAAAUCAUUGAAAGUGUAUAAUAUGGGGCACCUGGGUGGCUCAGUUGGUUAAGC